CACUAUAGUUUCACCUUAAACGAACUGUAAAUAUAUGUGAACUUAUGGCAUAUCCCUUGAAAGCAUGGAUUCAGUAAUUUCUUAUCUCAAAAUGGUUCAUUAGGCCAAAAGUUCAAAUCUUGUUUUUUUUAUGUGGUCCUUCAAAGUCAACAUCCUAGAGGAUCAGUUCCCCAACUGACAGAGAAGCUGAUCUCAGUCUUGUGUUUUCAAGGCUGACUUUCCAACAUACCGAGGGUGUGUGCUUACUAUUGAGGUAAAUUCCCCCCCCCCCCGCACAAAACCACUUGACUUGGACAGGCCAGCUCGGAAAUAUGGAAGCCCUACCUGAUUUUCAGCAUGCUGGGGGAUUGAUUCUCUAUAGUGUGACCGAUGCAGAAAUAUCUUGAUUUUCUAGUGUGACCGAUAUUGAUCAUCUAGUGUGAUCGAUGUAGAAAAAUAAUUUCAUUCUCUAAUGUGACUGAUGUAGAAAUAUAUUGAUUCUCUAGUGUAAUCGAUGAUUCUCUAGUGUGAUCGAGGUAGAAAUAUAUAUGUAUUUGCAAGUUUAAUGAAUGCAGUUCUUUCAGUGUCUGUAAACAGAUACCCCACUACAAAAUACAUCAAUUAUAUACGACUGGAAUGGUGAAUACAUUUUGCACGGUUAUAUUUUCGAAAUAACUUUUGACUGCUGUUAAUUUAUUGAAUUGUUUGAUGGGUAAAGUUUAAUUGUUUUUUACAACAUAGAAAAAGCAUAUUUGGGUGAUAGUCGUUAUACCUUGCACUUUAAGAACAGACCUGUUAAGAUUCAGUGUUUCAACCUCCAUUUGCUCUGCGUGCUAUAGCUACAUGUAUAACUACUUUCGCAUCUCUUUUAAAUAUUUUGGCAAUUUGCAAAAAUUUCUUUUGAAAAGUUUUUGUACUAGUAUUGCGAAUAAUUUUCCGCAGAUGGGGUCUGUGUAAUUUCUGAUGGGCGUAACAAAUAUUGUGUAAGGUGUUACAUAUGGCAGUGUGUAAACUACUGGUAGAAUGUUUGUUCAUGAUUUUAGGCAUGUUUCUAACCUCUAAAAUUAUUAGUGAUUGACAUCAGGAAUUUUUGCUGGUACCACUUAAACUCCGUAAAAUGCAUGAUUUUAUUUGCACUGUGAUCAUGACUGUAUACUGUGUUCGCUCCUUGAAGUGAGAUGGAUACAUGGCACUUAUAAAAUUGCUGCAGCAUUUCUUGUAGACACUCACGGGUCUCCGGUCUGACAUUGCCCAAAGAAGGCCGAACAUCCCUUCCACUCUCGUGGAAUAUAAAAUUAUAUGUACAAUAUAUAUAUCACUGACUCCUGGAUUGUCCGAUUUGCACCCCACUUCAGGUGAAAUCGCUUAAAGUGUUGAAAUUUGCAUUUAUGAAUGUUAUGUGGUAACCACACGUCUAUUGAUCAUAAUUUUGUAGUAAUUUUAUGUGUUUGAGCAUUAUGACUCUAUCUGGCUGCAGACUAAAUGGGCGUAAAUCAUAUUCUGCCUACAUUUACAUGUCAUAUCUCUGCUAAUCCGUACUAUUUGUACAUGAUUCCAAUUUAAGAUCAAAACUUUAAGGGCGAUGUGUCUAAGAUUUGCAAGUUGGUGUUGUAUUCUUUCUUUGUUUAUACAUUGUCGUAUACAUGUGUAUCCAGCCAAAGCGGCUGACUGAUUGGUCAAAAUGGCACUGAUUCUGUAUUUUGUCCAUUCUCACUUCUACUUGGAUUUUCUUCAAUGAAUUUAAAGUGAAGAUAAAAAUAGAGUUUAAAUUGAAUAAUCCCAGUGUGUUUUAUGCCAAAAAUUUGCCUUUUGGUGUUUUGCAUACACUUUUCAGGUCCAACAUGAUGAAAAUUCAGAUCGAGAUGAAAAAGAGAAUUUCGAAGACUUUCAAACUUCACCAAAUGAAUUGAAUUAUAAAAGCUUUAUAUUGCUCUCAAGGGACAUCAUUAUGGUGAAUCAACCCAGUCCUUGAGCGUAAUAGUCACCUGGGGGACCUGGCCUCAAUGAAAAGAAGUGACUCUGUCGACUUUCCUGGAGUAACUGAGUGAAAAGUUACAGUCAUGGAUAGACCGUUUUACAUAGUUUUCAUUCUCCAAUGCUGUCUAUAAUCGUGCCAGUGUACUCUCUAGUGAAUUUCCCUCGAUUUGGUUACGCAAAUGUGGCAGGUUAAUUAUCAGCCAACAUGGCUGAAUGACUGGCUAAAGAAAGAAUGUGGCAGGUUGAUUUUCAGCCAACAUGGUUCAAUGACUGGCUAAAGAAAGAAUGUGGCAGGUUAAUUUUCAGCCAAUAUGGUUCAAUGACUGACUACAGAAAGAAUGUGGCAGGUUAAUUUUCAGCCAACAUGGCUGAAUGACUGACUAUUUUGGAAAGAAUGUGGCAGGUUAAUUUUCAGCCAACAUGGUUCAAUGACUGACUACAGAAAGAAUGUGGCAGGUUAAUUUUCAGCCAACAUGGUUCAAUGACUGACUACAGAAAGAAUGUGGCAGGUUGAUUUUUGGCCAAUCUUGACUGAAUGACUGACGAGAAAGUCUUAUUUUAAGGUUUCUGUUUUAUGAUACUUUCGUGUCGGUGAUGAAUCUUCAUGUCAGAAACUUGACAGGUUGAGGUAUAUAUUCAUGUCCCAAAUGUUAGACUGGGGUAUUCCCACAAUGUAAAAUAAUUAAUGAUUUCGUCUUUUAAAGUUGUAUUCAAACCCAUUGAUAUUGUAUUUUGUAUAAAUAUUGCGUUAAUUUUAAUGAUAAUACUCAUAAUUAUUAAGUACUUGUUAAUAUCUGCCGUUGAAUGGCUAAUUACAGAGGAAUUUUGAGGAAUAAAGGCCUUCCUCCACAUAAGUGAUACUCUGCACGAGAUUUCCAGAGGCAUUGAACUAAUAAAGUUCAUCAUUCCUUGUUGUUGGUGGCAUCAUUCAGCGCAGGCUAGAGGGGAUUCCCUUUUAGCUCAGUCAGCAGAUUGAUGACUUGUAUCUCGUCGGAGGAACCCGAUUGUGAGGAUCAAGGCAAGAGACAGGAGGAGUAUGUAGUGGUGGCAUCAUUCUUCUAGCCCAGGCUAGAGGAAACUCAGAUGUUAAGAGGGAUGGCCUUGUAAUCCAAUGGUCUGGGAUUCAAAUACCAGCUGGAUCUUGGUGUUUUUCAUUGUUGCAUAAAAUAUGAACAUGUCCAAAGCAUGUGGACAGAGUGAAAAUUGCAGUGUUAAACAACUAAUAAAUAAUAAUAUGGAGGAUGGCCUUUUAAUGUGUAUUUUUGAAGUGUAUAUUAUUUGGCUGGUCCUGGCUGAGCGAAAAUCAAAAGGUUGUACAUAAUUUCAUGGUUUACAAGCAUUGUGAAUGGAAUGUUUUUUUCUUGGAAAACCCAUGUACUAAGUUAACCCCUUCAUGGCUUAAAAAAAAUACUUCUCCCACAACGAGAUAUUUUUUUCUAAAAUAACACCAAAUUUGUCUGAUUUCCAUGCCUUUAAUGGAAGAAAAUGGACAGCGAAAAGUCCCAGGGUAUUUUACGCACAUGGUGUGGCGUCCAGCAAAACUGUGGACCAAUGUGAACUUGUCUGUUACCAAAAUGGUGUUUUUGGCUGGAAGAUUUCGGUUUUGCAGUAUAUUUUGGCUGACCCCUAUGAUAACCUGGCCCACUUUGGCAUUGACGGUAGUUUCCCUUUAAGGUAUUGGUGAUAUAUUAGUUAUCAAGCAUGAAGGGGUUAAAGUUGUGAUUCGUGUACAUAGUAUUAUAUGUGUACAUGUACGUAGAACGUUAGAAAGUAUGAUAAUAUUUAUACUUUUUCUGAGAAAAAUCAAAAAUAUCAGUUUACGCAAAGGUACAGUGUAUAGUCAGUGUAAUGGUUUUGUAAUUGUAAUGUUUGGUUGAAAUUGAUUUUGAAUGUAGUUGUAGUAUUGUGUUUGAUUUGGGAAGUUUUGUUUGUGAGUAUAUACAUUCACAUGUAGUUUAGUUAGAUUCAAAUGUUGGUUGAUGUAUUGACUUGAAUACUCCUUCUGAUGCCUGUGACAUGUAAGUAGGCCCACAUUCUCACCCCUAAUUCCAGAAAAAAAUUAUGAGUUCGUGUAGCUUGCAGGGUAUGGUAUAAUGAGAAACCAUUUAAAUUCUGUAAAUCUCAGGCACGAAAAACAAAAUACAUUGUACUUACAAGGACAAACAUAUUAUGUUGCAUAUUCAAUAAGUCUUCAUGUUAUAUGAUAUUUUCGUGAUUACAAAAGAAUGGGAUAGCAUAUUACCAAAACGCAACAUAUUUUGUAGUUAUGAGGAUCAGUAUAAGCAUUGUUGUGUGGACCCCUCAUGUUUGGUGCAGUUAAACCGCAUAUCCCACACACUUUUGGAGUCGUUUACAACUUGAAUGUCACAAUAUAAGGUCAGCAUGAAGUGUACAACAUUUGCAUUGUUUGACACAUACAUUGUAUUUCAAAUACAUUUGGUCCUGCACCCCAGGCCUCACCCUGAGUGCGAAUGUCAAUCUCUUUUCGUAUUUGUAUCGACUGAGGCAACAGUAUUCAAUAAUGAGGAAUAUUGCCACAAACUGACCUACAACUUGAUACAUUUACGUGUAAACCAAAGUGAUGCUAUAAAAAAUCGGCUUCCUAUUGUAUAUUUGGGCACAGAUUCUGAUGCAUAUUGAUAUCAAAAAAUGCGUUAUGUUACUUUAUUACUGUAAAAUUGGUCAGGAGCUGUCUUGUCUGACACUCCAGCUCAUGCCACAUUGAAGGCAUGACAGCACCUGAGUGAGUAUACAGAGUCUGUUUAGAGACUAUCAUCGGAGAUCAGACCUUGUACAGAAUCUACUGUUUGAAUGUUAAUAUUGUCUUCUUGUCGCUGUAGUGGGGCAGUAAUUAAAGGAACAGCAGUUUAUGAAUUAUGUCAAUGUAGUCCUUUAAGAUGAGUAUUUCAUUCACCGAUUCUGGGAUGAUGAGGUCAUAAUAUUACACUUAUUUAUCUAUAAAACGACUAGUUCUUGUGCAUCUGUAUAAAGUGUUAUCAUUUAUUCCCAUGAUUUAAUGGUCAUAUGCCUGGUGUUCGUAAGCCAAAGUACAGUCAUGAUUGGCCAGUACGUUAAUAGCAAUAGUGGUGAAAUGUCUCUGCAUGUACUUAAUUUCAAAAAUUCAAAUGCCAGUUUCCAUGUUAGAUAUCCAGAGUUUUAAGCAAUAUGAAUUGUACCUGUUACUGUAAACUCUGCUGGGUGCUUUCAAGAUUAGGCCAACAGUCCUUGGGUGUACCUGAAUGUAUCAUCAAAGGGGUACACCGUUCGUAAUUACUGGUGGUCUAUGAAAAAAGAAAUUCAGUCAUACAUAAAGUCGUUGUGCAGUUAUUAUGCAUACAUAUUUGUUAAAACUUGGUAGUCAUAGUAUUUGUAUAUCAGUCUACUCAACAGCAAUUCUGAAAUAUGUAUUGAGAAUGUAUAUUCACACGGUGGGAAAGUUUCAAAUUCAGUUACAAAUUAUAAAUUGUUAAUGACCGGUGUUGGUCUUUAAGAUCAGGCGAGUUGUGCAGUAUCAUCUGGUUUGUCAAGACUGCUGCCGGCUGAAAUUACAGUAGUGACUGCAGUUGUUUGCCAUUCAUGUUCAUUGGACUUUCUUGUGGCAUUUCCAUAUAGUGAAUGCAUGCAAAUUUGCUUAAAGUUGGCGUGUAUAGUCUAGUAUUUGUAUAAGGACACUAGAUUUAAUCCAUAAUUGGUUGUUGCGAUUCACUUUGACCUCUUUAAUCAGGACACCUCUCUAUUAAGGACAGCAUUUGUCAGUCCCAAAGGUGUCCUCAAUAGACGCUGUCAGUUGUUUAGAUAAGCCAUUUGCAGCUCAGGCAAUACCUAACGCAGACUUUUAUUAAUCAAACUUAUUCAUUUCAUUAUCAAAAGCACCGACUGAUAUUGCCCAUGAUUAUACAAAGAACAAGCACCCUAAUACGGCCAAAACUGAUACAACUUACCUAGAUUUAUAAAUCUGCUGUUUAUAUCAUCUUCCCGAAGCACCAGUAAUAUAGACUGUGAUCUGAAGCUGUUUUUCAAUUGUCACUCAAAAGAAAUUAUGAUAACAUUUUAUCCUUAGACACCAUCAAGUUAAAGUCUGGAACGGGAAGAUUUAAGGUCGAGGACGAUAUAUGUUGUAAUUUACAGACAAAAACACAGAAAAAUAAUCUCUGAUUGGAGGAAUAUUCUUCUCUCACCUUUAGAGAGAGAACCAUGCAGUCCUAAACAACCUAUACCACACUAACCCCUGCAACCCUUCCCUCAACCAAAUCCCUUGGACAAAUUAUAGGGUACGAUUAGGAGCCUCAUAGCCCAGUGGUUACACUGCAGGCUCCCACACAUUAGGGCCCGGGUUCGAUCCCAGCGAAAACCCAGGAUUUGUAUUUUGGUUGAACAUGGGUUUGCAUUUAGGAUGCUAGAAUUCCUGGCUCUUCACAGUCUUUUAAUGAGACAAGGUUUGCUGUGUCUGGUGUCUAUGCCAGGGCAAGAAAAGGCCCACAAGUGGGAAACAAUUGACUCCCCCUCCUUGCCAAAAGUUUCUUGGUAUGAUGGUCACCACGUUCCAGUAUUGACCAGAACCAGAACUAACGCUGCAUAUAAUCAUAAAUUGAUUAAUCGACCACUUUUAUAUGCCCCAAAGUUUUUUUUUGGUGAUUGGCAAAUGAUAUGCCCUGUGUUGAACUUCAUUCACUGGUACUGCAAGCCCCAUAAUUUUUGUGGCCUGAAUCUUUAACCAAAAAAUAUCUUAUUGAUAUUGCACUUCCAAUAAUAAGUUGAAAAGGACCCAUUAAAACUGUUGUAUGUGUUUGAUUUUUGAUGUCCAUGCAUAUUAUAAAAGAAAAGGGUUUACAAUACAGGGGCUACAAAUCUUAUGAGAAGGGUGUCUCUGCAAUCUUAACAUAAGCUUGAGUCUUGAAUUCUAUUCCAGUUACAGUAAGUUGCCCUAUUUUGUCCCCAGGUUGUACAAAUUUUUGUGUGGGUAUGCACAGUCAUCAGGUUGUGUUAGUCUGUUCGUGGUAUCUAUUUAUAAAAUAUUGUAAAUUUUCACAAAAAUAAAGAAAAAAUCUUCGUGAGGGUAA
Lineus longissimus is the source of this 7016-nucleotide long non-coding RNA. RefSeq lists it as uncharacterized. The record is from RefSeq and is a predicted model, not a curated record. The transcript has 2 exons. NCBI's taxonomy places the organism in Eukaryota, Metazoa, Nemertea, Pilidiophora, Heteronemertea, Lineidae.